Long non-coding RNA from Balaenoptera acutorostrata (minke whale), 711 nucleotides. RefSeq lists it as uncharacterized. The transcript has 5 exons. The record is from RefSeq and is a predicted model, not a curated record. Lineage: Eukaryota; Metazoa; Chordata; Mammalia; Artiodactyla; Balaenopteridae.
GUCUAACAGUCUCCAAGGUUAAUCUUUUCUCUUCUUUACAGGCACCCAGCUUGCUGCCGAAGGCCUUUGAUCAUGGCGGGAGUCUGAACUGAAGUGAACUGUGCUGGAGGUCGCGCCGUGAGGCUCUGAGGCCAUCAGGGGUCACAGACGUUGCCCGGCUGCCCCUCUGGUUUCGCUUGCUCUGGGGGAAGCCAGCUGACCUGCUGUGAGGACAUUCAAGUAGCUGGAGGAUCACCCCACUUGCCCGCUGGGAGUGACUACAGCCUCUGCUGUCCCCUGACUGACCCUCCUGGGACCCUGAGCCGGAAAAACCCAGCCAGAAACCACUGGAAAUAAGAAGAAAGAGACUGCUGACCUACCUGUUUGCCUGGACAUCUAGAAAAUAACUUUAAAUAUUUAUAUGUGAUCUGCAGGAGAUUACACAUUUGCCACGGAGAACUUCAACUAUCAGGUCUCAGCCGCCCACGACUGCAUGGCCAGAGCAGGCUGACGUCAUCACCUCUGUCUUAAAGAUGAGGAAACAGAGGCCUAGGAAUUGGCGGGGCUUCCCUGGCUCACAUGACCUUGUAUGUAAACAGGCCUGGCCCCUGCUGGUCACAGUGCCAUCAGGAGAUGUGCUCAGAACUGCUUCUCCAGGAGCUGUGACAGGUUUUGCGGACUCAGGCACAGCAGAGCAGCAUUUGACAGGGCUGACCAGGUGUACGGAUGCAG